UUCACUUUCUCUCUCUCGUCCUUCCCUCUCAGUACGACAGCCAACAAAACCCUUUGACGAUCCUUACCACACCAGACCACCAUGGCAUGUCCCUCUCUGUCUCUCUUUUGUUCUACAUCCCUCCUUCAAACUCUCUAAAAACUCUCUCUGCACUCUUCGUGCACAGUAGCACCACACCACCACUACCCAACUACUCAGGCGAACCAGACUAUGAAAUCAUCAUUGUGCCUUGUCCUUCCUUAUCUAUGUAAAGCUCAAAUCGUGAAGGCAACCCAAUCAUGGAAUUUACUUUGUACAGUGGCUGUGGCAUUGUUCAUCCUUUUUCCCGACCAUGGCAAAAUGCAUCGCAAGGACUCUCGAUGCUACGAGGCUGGUUCAACUCGACAACAUGAUCUUACUUGCCCAGGCUAGGGCCAAGCUUCACGUGGAUGUUCACAUUGCACAGCAUGCUCACCUUGGAUCCAUUGUAGGUGCCAGUCCUGUCGAACAGGUUGCAAUAGGCAACUCCGACUCGUAUGUGAUGCGCUUAGUGCCAGUCUUCAGGUGAUUGUAGUACUAAAGCGUUUAUUAUGAUUACACCCAGUAACGUUCAUGUUAGAUUACUUCUGCAUGAACUCGUGUGUUAGCACGUGUCAAUAAGCACUCGAUGUGAUAUGUUUAUUUAUGCAAGCAUAUGUGAUUAUAGACAUCAUGUGCUUACUUAUGAAAUAUUGUGCCGUAUCGAAUUCUUGAGAUUUUGUAUGCUACGUUAAGUAAUUUCUUACCAUACGUAGUACGUAUAUUUUGGAAA
This is a long non-coding RNA of Pyrus x bretschneideri (Chinese white pear), 790 nucleotides long. RefSeq lists it as uncharacterized. NCBI's taxonomy places the organism in Eukaryota, Viridiplantae, Streptophyta, Magnoliopsida, Rosales, Rosaceae. The record is from RefSeq and is a predicted model, not a curated record. The transcript is spliced from 3 exons.